Long non-coding RNA from Bubalus bubalis (water buffalo), 2192 nucleotides. RefSeq lists it as uncharacterized. The record is from RefSeq and is a predicted model, not a curated record. NCBI's taxonomy places the organism in Eukaryota, Metazoa, Chordata, Mammalia, Artiodactyla, Bovidae. The transcript is spliced from 2 exons.
UGGCUCCUCUUCGGCGCCGGACUCUUUCUUUCUCGCCCACUUGGGCUACCCCUGACGCCUGCUUAGCCUCCCUCUCCCCAACACACUGACAUCCAGCCCUCGGCAGUAAAGCCGAUGACACCGGAGAAAGGACACGCACGCACAAAGCUGCUAAAGAUGUAACAAAGACGAGCAGGGGGUAGGCGGGGGGGUGGGGGUGCUGUCGGUGCGUCAGUCUGUCCGUCUCCAGGAGGGUGGGAGAACCGCUGGGCCGAGGAGUGGGGGAGUGUUGUUGUUUGCUGACAACUGAGCUGAGAGCUCUUCUCUUCGAGGUCGCGUUUCUUACUUUUUUUUUCUUUUCCUCUCCCUUUUUUUUUUUUUUCCGGAGCCUUCUCGGGCAGACAAGUGUUGUUUUUCUGUCGCUCGUUCCUGGGUGGGGUGGGGAUUACAAGACGAAAGUUGGAAACUGUAGGCAGAGCUCGGCGGUUCCAGAAAGAAAACACAUAGACACACAACGAUAACAACAAGCAAACAGCCCUCCACGGCGUGGGCUCCGGCUGGCUCGGCUCUGCUUCUUCCUCCUGUCUACUUUGCUUUUUCCUCUCUUCUCGCUGCAAGGCUGGGCUCAGGCCAUCGCGUCCACGGAGACAGUCCCCCUGAGCCUCUGCUGCCCUAGGUGCCCCUGCCCCCGACCCCCCCACCCCCCUCAAAGAAACAGGCCGGCAAAACCAAGCACUGCCACCAGCUCGCCCGGGACCCGCGGUGCUGCGCCCGGGAAACUUGGCGAGGGGGACUCAGCGAGAAGGAAACUUUGGGAUCUCGCAGGAAACAAUAGUUGUGGAAGAAGGUGUGGGCUGUUAUGUGCUGUUUCUUUAUUUUCCGGGAUACGGUUCCCGAGCGAGCGCGCUGGGCGAGGAAGGCAGAUGCCUUCCUGGUGGCUUUCUACUGCUCCCCCAACCCCCACCCCCACCCCAGAUUCAGGUGGAGAGAGAUGGUUGCGGGCGGCGGGGGGUGCUGGGAGCCCCACCCCGGCCUGGCCUCCUUUUUUGUAUUUGUUUGUUUCAUUUUUGCCUGGGUGCCCCAAUCCUCCCCAGGCCGUCGCCUCAGCGUCCUAACGGGGGCACGCGAGUGCGGCGUCUCCAGCACGGUCCUCACAAAUAAUAGCUGCGAGAAGGGGGAAGGGACUGAGGCGGACAGACCGACAGACUAGAGAAAAUCUGUCCGAGCAAGUAGGAAGAUCAAUGAGAUGAGAGAGAAAGGGGGGGGGGGGGAGAGAGAAAGGGAGAAAAAUGGUCCGAUUGCAACGUGUCAGGUCUUGCAACCUACCCCCCCCCCUCCAAACACAACAACAACCCUCAAACACAAAAACACCCUAGCUGACCGACACCCCAGGCCUUCGGGGUUAAAGUAACCCGUGAUGGCAGCGAAAUCGUGCAGUAGCUUAAGGCAAAAACAAGGAUUUGUGUUGGGAGGUCACUACUGCAAACGACAAUACUGGCCGGCUCAGGUGCACAACCUCCUCGCUUUCAUUUCAGCCAGUUCUCCUGUAAUCACUUGAUCGCAGUUUCUCCGCCUCCACCGCUUCCCCCUCCCAGCGAGAGACACAUGGUUUCCACAUGGAGACAAACUUCUUUCCUCUGACUGGACUUGACCUAGCAGCAUUGCUCAGCCAAUCGACAGCCUCAGCUUCCUCUGACGUCACGCGUUGCUGAGGCCGGAGACUAGGGGGUGGAGCCUGGAGGCAAGCCAGAAAAUCUCUGGGAGCUGUAGUGCGGCCAGCUGGUUCAAUCCCUUCUUAAAGGGACGCUCUUCACCCCGAGAAGGGUAUUGAACCUCAAUUCUCCAUUUCGGGUUCUGUGAGACAUUCUCGAAAUGCACCGAUAGGCCCUGGUCACGAGUUCACACGUUCCGCUUUUACUGUGUGUAAAGUACUUCCUUGGCAGGAGCUUGCCUUAUUUUCCAUUGUCACCAGAACUGCUUUUCAUUGCCUCGUUGAGGUUUCCGUGCUAGAAGAGCUCACCAAGUGUGUCCACAGUGCUGAGUUAUUCUCAGUAUAUAUGAUGAGUUUUCUUGGGGUGUUCAAAUUGAGUCAUUCAGCAUUGAGUGCUCUGUGCAAGGCAAGGAUUCCCUAGAAGAUGCAAGUACAUUCUCCCAAACUUCCAACUGAUGUGAAUCCCUAAGAAACUCAAAUUAAAAGCCUCCAGAAAUAUUAA